ACGGGUGAGUAACGCGUGGGAAUCUACCCAUCCCUACGGAAUAACGCAUGGAAACGUGUGCUAAUACCGUAUACGUCCUUCGGGAGAAAGAUUUAUCGGAGAUGGAUGAGCCCGCGUUGGAUUAGCUAGUUGGUGGGGUAAAGGCCUACCAAGGCGACGAUCCAUAGCUGGUCUGAGAGGAUGAUCAGCCACACUGGGACUGAGACACGGCCCAGACUCCUACGGGAGGCAGCAGUGGGGAAUAUUGGACAAUGGGCGCAAGCCUGAUCCAGCCAUGCCGCGUGAGUGAUGAAGGCCCUAGGGUUGUAAAGCUCUUUCACCGGUGAAGAUAAUGACGGUAACCGGAGAAGAAGCCCCGGCUAACUUCGUGCCAGCAGCCGCGGUAAUACGAAGGGGGCUAGCGUUGUUCGGAUUUACUGGGCGUAAAGCGCACGUAGGCGGACUAUUAAGUCAGGGGUGAAAUCCCGGGGCUCAACCCCGGAACUGCCUUUGAUACUGGUAGUCUUGAGUUCGAGAGAGGUGAGUGGAAUUCCGAGUGUAGAGGUGAAAUUCGUAGA
Molecule: ribosomal RNA, 557 nt
Filed under: uncultured bacterium
Lineage: Bacteria
Description: bacterial SSU rRNA
Rfam family: Bacterial small subunit ribosomal RNA
Source: RNAcentral